UAGCUCAGUGGUAGAGUGCAUGCCUACCAUGCAUAAGGUCCUGGGUUCAAUUCCCAU
This 57-nucleotide transfer RNA is filed under the name Camelus ferus (Wild Bactrian camel). It matches the Rfam family "tRNA", at positions 8 to 63 of the family's 71-position model. From Rfam's summary of the family: Transfer RNA (tRNA) molecules are approximately 80 nucleotides in length. Their secondary structure includes four short double-helical elements and three loops (D, anti-codon, and T loops). The record is from Rfam by way of RNAcentral. Lineage: Eukaryota; Metazoa; Chordata; Mammalia; Artiodactyla; Camelidae.